AGAGUUUGGUCAGGGCUCAGAUUGAACGCUGGCGGCAGGCUUAACACAUGCAAGUCGAGUGGCAGCGGAAAGAAGCUUGCUUCUUUGCCGGCGAGCGGCGGACGGGUGAGUAAUGUCUGGGGAUCUGCCCGAUGGAGGGGGAUAACUACUGGAAACGGUAGCUAAUACCGCAUAAUGUCGCAAGACCAAAGUGGGGGACCUUCGGGCCUCACACCAUCGGAUGAACCCAGAUGGGAUUAGCUAGUAGGUGGGGUAAUGGCUCACCUAGGCGACGAUCCCUAGCUGGUCUGAGAGGAUGACCAGCCACACUGGAACUGAGACACGGUCCAGACUCCUACGGGAGGCAGCAGUGGGGAAUAUUGCACAAUAGGGGAAACCCUGAUGCAGCCAUGCCGCGUGUGUGAAGAAGGCCUUCGGGUUGUAAAGCACUUUCAGCGGGGAGGAAGGCAAUGGCGUUAAUAGUGUCAUUGAUUGACGUUACCCGCAGAAGAAGCACCGGCUAACUCCGUGCCAGCAGCCGCGGUAAUACGGAGGGUGCGAGCGUUAAUCGGAAUUACUGGGCGUAAAGCGUACGCAGGCGGUCUGUUAAGUCAGAUGUGAAAUCCCCGGGCUUAACCUGGGAACUGCAUUUGAAACUGGCAGGCUAGAGUCUCGUAGAGGGGGGUAGAAUUCCAGGUGUAGCGGUGAAAUGCGUAGAGAUCUGGAGGAAUACCGGUGGCGAAGGCGGCCCCCUGGACGAAGACUGACGCUCAGGUACGAAAGCGUGGGGAGCAAACAGGAUUAGAUACCCUGGUAGUCCACGCUGUAAACGAUGUCGAUUUGAAGGUUGUGGUCUUGAGCCGUGGCUUUCGGAGCUAACGCGUUAAAUCGACCGCCUGGGGAGUACGGCCG
RNAcentral lists this ribosomal RNA (891 nucleotides) under uncultured bacterium. RNAcentral's name for it is "bacterial SSU rRNA". It matches the Rfam family "Bacterial small subunit ribosomal RNA", at positions 8 to 888 of the family's 1533-position model. The record is from RNAcentral.